RNAcentral lists this ribosomal RNA (303 nucleotides) under uncultured bacterium. RNAcentral describes it as "partial 16S ribosomal RNA". It matches the Rfam family "Bacterial small subunit ribosomal RNA", at positions 507 to 807 of the family's 1533-position model. The record is from RNAcentral.
AGCAGUAGCCGCGGUAAUACGUAGGUGGCAAGCGUUGUCCGGAAUUAUUGGGCGUAAAGGGCUCGCAGGCGGUUUCUUAAGUCUGAUGUGAAAGCCCCCGGCUCAACCGGGGAGGGUCAUUGGAAACUGGGAAACUUGAGUGCAGAAGAGGAGAGUGGAAUUCCACGUGUAGCGGUGAAAUGCGUAGAGAUGUGGAGGAACACCAGUGGCGAAGGCGACUCUCUGGUCUGUAACUGACGCCGAGGAGCGAAAGCGUGGGGAGCGAACAGGAUUAGAUACCCCAGUAGUCCCUGUCUCUUAUAC